CUCUCCCCAACAGAUAAAACAAGUCCAUGUUGUAUACAAAUGAUAUUUUACCAAGGCAGAUUUAUGUUGGAAGUGUUUUCUUUUAUUUACGCUCCCUCCCCCUAACAGAUUAAACAAGUCCAUGUUGUAUACAAAUGAUAUUUUACCAAGGCAUAUUUAUGUUGGAAGUGUUUUUUUUUCUUUACGCUCCCUCUCCCUAACAGAUUAAACAAGUCCAUGUUGUAUACAAAUGAUAUUUUACCAAGGCAUAUUUGAUGUUGGAAGUGUUUUCUUUUAUUUACGCCCCAUCUCC
Molecule: long non-coding RNA, 292 nt
Filed under: Mytilus galloprovincialis (Mediterranean mussel)
Lineage: Eukaryota; Metazoa; Mollusca; Bivalvia; Mytilida; Mytilidae
Source: RNAcentral